CUGGGAACCACGCCUUUAGCCUUUGUAUUCAGAGGUGGUCCACAGACCGGCAGCGUCAGCGUCUCUGUGAGUUCAUUAGAAGCGCAGUCUCAGGCCCCAGCCCAGACCUACCGAAUCCGAAUUCCCCACUUUAACAGGAACCCCGGGUGAUAUUUGUGCGCAAUAAAGUUUGAGAAAAGCUGAUGUAGAGGAUUACUGGAGUGAAACAUGUUGGUGAAAAACAAGGAAACGUAUUCUGCUUUCACAUCUUCUAGUAAAGCCCCUGGAAGCCACCAUUCUACUUUUUGUCUCUUUGAGUUUGACUAUCCUGGAUACCUCAUAUUUUAACUGCAUCAUCACAGAUGGCUCCUGUGUCUCCAGGCAUCAUUUAUAUAUUUCUGGCAGGAGGAAGAGGAAACAGAAAGAACAAAAGGCAAAACCUGGGUGCCAGUGGAGUUGGCUGUAUCUAAUAAACUCUCCCCAAAGCCCUGUCGAAUGACUUUCUCUGCCCUCUCAUUAGCUGUUCUCUGCCACCUGGCCACAUCUUGCGUGAUGUCAAUGAAAAUAAUCCAUAACUAAUCUACAAAUGAAAAUUUGG
This 577-nucleotide long non-coding RNA is filed under the name Equus caballus (horse). Its description in RNAcentral is "lncRNA (ENSECAG00000042271.2)". Lineage: Eukaryota; Metazoa; Chordata; Mammalia; Perissodactyla; Equidae. The record is from RNAcentral.